GGGAAGGGAUUGCGGUUCAAUAAAAGCGACACGUUCGCCCGAUGCCACAUCAGACAACACCGAGAAGCAAACCGACAGUGUCUCGUAGUUUCGUUCAGAUACAAGAGACAAGCAAGAAGAAACACAGCAGAAAUGCCGGGUCCCAACGACAAGUGCAAAGGUGACUGCCAGGGAUCAUGCAAGUGUGGAUCAGACUGCAAAUGCUGCGAUGCACCAGGAGAUAAAUGCGGCUGCAAGUCCGGCAGCGACUGCAAAUGUCAGGACUGCAAAUGCACAUGAGAAGUGAAGAAAAAACAAGAUGUCGAGGACGAAUGCCGGUGGGAUUGAGAAAAUGGAUUUGAACAUACUUGCGCUAACCCAACGCAACGUAACAUAGUCUUAAUAUGUACGUCGAGAUCGUCUUCAUAUUUUUAAUUCGUGCUAGUAUUUCUGUUCAAAAAACUUAUUCCAAAUAAUACACUUAAUUUUA
Diprion similis is the source of this 469-nucleotide long non-coding RNA. RefSeq lists it as uncharacterized. The transcript has 3 exons. The record is from RefSeq and is a predicted model, not a curated record. Lineage: Eukaryota; Metazoa; Arthropoda; Insecta; Hymenoptera; Diprionidae.